AAAACUUUCCCUUGAUAUCAAACCAAAACAUGAUCUUACUACCUCCAUGCAUUGCAGGAUAGUGAACUGUACAAAAUGGAACUAAUUUUACAGAAUGUACUUUGCCAGUUUUCAACUUAUCCACAUCCUUCCACCAAACAAAACCAAGCGUUUUCUUUCCAGCCCAUCAAGAAAAAGAACGAAAAACACGGACAAAAUAUGAGCUAAGAGCACAAAAUUUGUCUAUUGCUCAAGUAAAAAAUAGUAUUGUUAUGGGAGAAAACUGUGCCCUCACUGCAAAACUUGAUGAAAUUCCAUCAGAUGUCACUUCUUGGGUGUGGACGAUGGGCUUGCUGCCUCUUUGAAUGCUGAUGGGCAGAGAUCACUUACUGUACAGAUUGCACAACGUGGUCUUAAAGGAGUACAAAUGGUCUGACCAAACCCAACCAAGAGAGGAUUGAUUGGCACCCAUUCUUCCUUUGGAAGCCAAAGUUGCAAGGACUCCCUAGUCUCCUCAGGGGUUCUCG
RNAcentral lists this unclassified non-coding RNA (506 nucleotides) under Hevea brasiliensis (rubber tree). Lineage: Eukaryota; Viridiplantae; Streptophyta; Magnoliopsida; Malpighiales; Euphorbiaceae. The record is from RNAcentral.